Molecule: ribosomal RNA, 393 nt
Filed under: uncultured bacterium
Lineage: Bacteria
Description: bacterial SSU rRNA
Rfam family: Bacterial small subunit ribosomal RNA
Source: RNAcentral
GGCAGCACGGGUGAUUAACGCGUGGGAACGUGCCCUUCAGUUCGGGAUAACCCAGGAAACUUGGGCUAAUACCGGAUACGUGCGAGAGCAGAAAGAUUUAUCGCUGAAGGAUCGGCCCGCGUCUGAUUAGCUAGUUGGUGGGGUAAUGGCCCACCAAGGCGACGAUCAGUAGCUGGUCUGAGAGGAUGAUCAGCCACAUUGGGACUGAGACACGGCCCAAACUCCUACGGGAGGCAGCAGUGGGGAAUAUUGCACAAUGGGCGAAAGCCUGAUGCAGCAACGCCGCGUGAGGGACGACGGCCUUCGGGUUGUAAACCUCUUUUGUCAGGGAAGAAGCGAAAGUGACGGUACCUGAAGAAAAAGCACCGGCUAACUACGUGCCAGCAGCCGCGG